AUUGAACGCUGGCGGCAUGCCUUACACAUGCAAGUCGAACGGCAGCGGGCCCUUCGGGGUGCCGGCGAGUGGCGAACGGGUGAGUAAUGCAUCGGAACGUACCCGGGAGAGGGGGAUAACCGGCCGAAAGGCUGGCUAAUACCGCAUGAACUCGGAAGAGCAAAGCGGGGGACCUUCGGGCCUCGCGCUCUCGGAGCGGCCGAUGUCCGAUUAGGCUAGUUGGUGGGGUAAAGGCCCACCAAGGCGACGAUCGGUAGCGAGUCUCAGAGGACGAUCCGCCACACUGGGACUGAGACACGGCCCAGACUCCUACGCGAGGCAGCAGUGGGGAAUCUUAGACAAUGGGCGCAAGCCUGAUCCAGCAAUGCCGCGUUGGUGAAGAAGGCCUUCGGGUUGUAAAGCCCUUUCGGCGGGGAAGAAAUCGGUCAGGCGAAUAGUCUGGCCGGAUGACGGUACCCGCAGAAGAAGCACCGGCUAACUACGUG
Molecule: ribosomal RNA, 485 nt
Filed under: uncultured bacterium
Lineage: Bacteria
Description: partial 16S ribosomal RNA
Rfam family: Bacterial small subunit ribosomal RNA
Source: RNAcentral